RNAcentral lists this long non-coding RNA (1738 nucleotides) under Ananas comosus (pineapple). RNAcentral's name for it is "long non-coding RNA (ACOM_LNC007937)". Lineage: Eukaryota; Viridiplantae; Streptophyta; Magnoliopsida; Poales; Bromeliaceae. The record is from RNAcentral.
AUGAGCAUGACAAAACUUAAACUCAGAAUCCUUUACUGGAUACCAUGUUAAAAUAAUAAAAAAUAAUCAUAUUUUUUCGAACUAUAUUUUUAAUAUUUAUACUUUAAGCCUUUAUUUGGUUGGGGGUUAAGACGUAGAACAACCUCUUAACUCUCAUAUUAUCUCCAAACACCUUAAAAAAUAAGUGGGGUUAGCUAAUCCCACCUCAAAUGGGCUAUCCCGAAUUAACUAAUCUUACCUAACCCCCACCAAAUUCCAACCGAACACUAUUUUUUAUUCAUAAUAAUUCACUAUCCUUGUUAUCCCACCUAUUCCAACCAAACAUUAUUUUUCACUAUCCUGAAUUAACUCCAACUCCCAAUUAAACACAAAAUUACUCUAACUCCACCUUAACCCUGAACUUAAUCCAAUUUCUAGAAUAACUAAUUUUUUUUUUAACCCCAAAUCAAACGGUAGCUAACGAUAUUUGAUGCUCCCUACCCAAAUAAAGAGGUGAGUACACGAUACAAAAGCUGUAGCUAAGAAAGAGCCAAAUAGAAAGAAAACACCAUAUCCCUACACUUUGGCUCUAGGACUGGGCAAUCGUGACCCUUCACCUAACUACGCGGUUUCCGAAAACAGCCUUUUCCUACCUCUUACGCAACUCAUAUCACCAUCAUUUUCUUCUCUAUCAUUCUCUUUUUUUCUUUUUUUUUUUAAAAAAAACUUCAAAUAUCGUUUCUGUAAUUUCUUUUUUUUUUAUUUUAAUAUUUUAUGAUUUAAAGUAUAUUAAUUUAGUAGCUCAUAAUUUUUAUUCUUUUUAUUAUUCUCUCCACGAAUUUUUUUCGUUAAAUUAGUGACAAAAUUAAAACUGAAAGUUAUCAAAGUGAAUAUUCAAUAAACCUAAAUGCAGUAUCUGAAGUUUUUUGUAUAUAAUUUAACGAAAUGUUAAUGAAGGAGCCGACAAAAAGAGAAAAAUAAAACUACAAAAUACUAAAGUGAGAAAGAAUGAAACCACCGGAGUGACUUUUGGGAUGCAUUUGGUUCGCACUAUGGAAGAUUACUAGCAAUAAAAAGAUAUCCAAUAAUUUUAUUUCUAUGCAUCCUAUUACUAAGAAUAUGGUAUUUCCGUGUUUGGUUUGCACGAUUAUAUUAUUUAGUCAUGUUAUUUAAAUUUACAAAAAUAUAUAAUUUAUUUAUUUAUUUUUUUAAUUAAUUUUAAAUAGUGCUAUUAAAAUUUUCAACUCCUUUUUAGAAAAAGGAAGAGAAAACAUAGGUUAGAGAAUGGGAGCAUAAUUAAAAAAAUAAGAAGAGAAAUAGAGUCGAGAUUGGAGGGAGUGAGAGAAUAGAGAUUUUAGAAAAAGAGGGUGAGAGAGAGCUUAGUUUAGAGAGAGAAAAAGAAAUGAAGUUUAGAAACAAAAAGAUAAGUUUAGAGUAAGAUAUAAAAUUAGAAUGUAAAGAAAAAUAAUACCAACUAGCCAGCGGAUAGGAAAAAAGAAAGAGAUUAGACAUAUUAUGAUUACCCCAAUCCAUUAAUAUAAGGAUAUCCAUCCUUCCUCAAAGGAAUGAGAUUAGCACUUUGAGAUGAAUCUCAUUCCCAAGUAAAUCUAAUAUUACCAACUAGAUUACUCAGUGCGUUUAGCCAAAUAUCGUCAUAUUUUUUUAUACCUAUUGUAUUAUUAGGAAUCUUAAAAAGAUAGCGUGAACCAAACGCAACUUUAAAAUUUAUUCUUUUUUUUUAAUAUGCAUGUAGACCCUC